CAAUAGCGUAUAUUAAAGUUGUUGCGGUUAAAAAGCUCGUAGUUGGAUUUCGGCGGACAGGGGGCGGUUCGAUAUUUGUCGCUACUGCCCCAUUUGUCCGUGUUUUUGGCGGAGGUUUCAGGGUGCUCUUCACCGAGUGUCCUGGGAUGCCGUCAGGUUUACUUUGAAAAAAUUAGAGUGCUCAAAGCAGGCCUUACACGCUUGAAUAUUCGUGCAUGGAAUAAUGGAAUAGGACGUCGUUUCUAUUUUGUUGGUUUUCGGAAAUCGACGUAAUGAUUAACAGGGACGGUCGGGGGCAUUAGUAUUCAGACGACAGAGGUGAAAUUCUUGGACCGUCUGAAGACUAACUACUGCGAAAGCAUUUGCCAAGAAUGUUUUCAUUAA
This 384-nucleotide ribosomal RNA is filed under the name uncultured eukaryote. RNAcentral's name for it is "partial 18S ribosomal RNA". It matches the Rfam family "Eukaryotic small subunit ribosomal RNA", at positions 592 to 976 of the family's 1831-position model. The record is from RNAcentral.